GGAUGUGAGAUGGAUCUGGCUGUGAGAGAUCUGUCAUCCUAUGAGGAUCAGGGUUGAUUCUACUGAUCUGGCUGGCUAGGUGGGUAUCCCUAACUCAUUGCCCCACGUGUGUCUCUUGAAGCUCUGCAUUCCCUGACUCGUGUCUUUGGGUAUACAAGUAGCUGCGUUCCCCUGCUAGAACCUCCAGACCAGCUCUCAAAGUCCUUAUGUAGGAGAAUGUAGGGUAGUCAAGCUUCCAAGACUCCAGACACAUCCAUAUGGGGCACUGCAUGUGGCAGUCUGCCUGCUAA
This 290-nucleotide small nuclear RNA is filed under the name Jaculus jaculus (lesser Egyptian jerboa). RNAcentral's name for it is "7SK RNA (ENSJJAG00000001748.1)". It matches the Rfam family "7SK RNA". From Rfam's summary of the family: 7SK was discovered as an abundant small nuclear RNA in the mid-70s but a possible function has only recently been suggested. Two independent studies have found that 7SK RNA binds the CDK9/cyclin T complex (known as elongation factor P-TEFb). Lineage: Eukaryota; Metazoa; Chordata; Mammalia; Rodentia; Dipodidae. The record is from Rfam by way of RNAcentral.